Molecule: ribosomal RNA, 498 nt
Filed under: uncultured bacterium
Lineage: Bacteria
Description: bacterial SSU rRNA
Rfam family: Bacterial small subunit ribosomal RNA
Source: RNAcentral
GAUGAACGCUAGCUACAGGCUUAACACAUGCAAGUCGAGGGGCAGCGGGAUUGAAGCUUGCUUCAAUUGCCGGCGACCGGCGCACGGGUGAGUAACGCGUAUCCAACCUUCCGUACACUCAGGGAUAGCCUUUCGAAAGAAAGAUUAAUACCUGAUGGUAUGAUGAGAUCGCAUGGUAUCAUCAUUAAAGAUUUAUCGGUGUACGAUGGGGAUGCGUUCCAUUAGGUAGUAGGCGGGGUAACGGCCCACCUAGCCUACGAUGGAUAGGGGUUCUGAGAGGAAGGUCCCCCCACAUUGGAACUGAGACACGGUCCAAACUCCUACGGGAGGCAGCAGUGAGGAAUAUUGGUCAAUGGACGAGAGUCUGAACCAGCCAAGUAGCGUGAAGGAUGAAGGUCUUACGGAUUGUAAACUUCUUUAUAAGGGAUAAACCCUCCACGUGUGGGAGCUUGUAUGUACCUUAUGAAUAAGCAUCGGCUAACUCCGUGCCAGCAGCCG